UACGUAGGGGGCUAGCGUUGUCCGGAAUCAUUGGGCGUAAAGAGCGUGUAGGCGGUCCGGUAAGUCCGCUGUGAAAGUCGGGGGCUCAACCCUCGAAUGCCGGUGGAUACUGUCGGGCUAGAGUGCGGAAGAGGCGAGUGGAAUUCCUGGUGUAGCGGUGGAAUGCGCAGAUAUCAGGAGGAACACCAAUAGCGAAGGCAGCUCGCUGGGACGUUACUGACACUGAGGCGCGAAAGCGUGGGGAGCGAACAGG
This 253-nucleotide ribosomal RNA is filed under the name uncultured bacterium. RNAcentral's name for it is "partial 16S ribosomal RNA". It matches the Rfam family "Bacterial small subunit ribosomal RNA", at positions 524 to 776 of the family's 1533-position model. The record is from RNAcentral.